Phoenix dactylifera (date palm) is the source of this 708-nucleotide long non-coding RNA. RefSeq lists it as uncharacterized. NCBI's taxonomy places the organism in Eukaryota, Viridiplantae, Streptophyta, Magnoliopsida, Arecales, Arecaceae. The record is from RefSeq and is a predicted model, not a curated record.
CUCAGCUGGUUGGCAUCUGUCUUCUCAAACAAUGGGACGAAAGAGGCUCCAGGUCAAAUCCCAGAUGCGGCCAUUCUCAUAAUAUUUUUUGAAGAAAUUUCUAUGCAUAUGCUUAAUCUGGUGCUGUUGGAAGAAAAAGGAACAUAUUCUCAAGGGCACCCCCUCUAUACUUUACCUUCAGAGAAAGCUAUCUCCUGGGCAUCUCUAACUUUCCAUUCCAACAAAGAGACCCUGCUCCAUCUCCAUCUCCAUCUCCAUCUCCACAGUGAAAAGAUGAAGCUUCGUUUCGUGCUGCCUCUUCUCCUUGGCCUGCUUCUGCUUUCAUCAGUCAAGGAGGCGGAGCUCUUUGCGGAUAGCCCAAACUCGGUCCGGCUUCCGGAGCACACAUGUCAAAAGACGAUUGGAACAGCUAGGUGUAGGCCGGAGAGAUGCGAACAGGAGUGCUCUGUGGAGCCCAAAGGCAGAGGAGAGUGCAUGGAUGAUGUGUGUUCAUGCAGCUUUUACUGCCCACGGCCGCCUGUUUAGAGGUUUGGAUGUUUUGGUUUGGGUCAGGAAAUGAUGGUCUUGUUUUCUCUGUUUGUUGGUUUAAGUGAUAGAUGAGAUCAAUGUUCACAGAAACCUCAGUGUCCAGCCUUUCCCUUUUUCUCUUGUAAAUUUCUUCUGUUGUUUCGAUAAUGUAGCAUGACUGCUGAAGUUUCCGGGGUCCAA